AUGUACCAUUCGUACAUUGCGAUUGCUCCGCGCCGUCCGCACCCAUCUGGCGACUGCUCGUUACAUUUUGUUAGCC
RNAcentral lists this small RNA (76 nucleotides) under Xanthomonas fragariae. RNAcentral's name for it is "sX9 sRNA". It matches the Rfam family "Xanthomonas sRNA sX9". The record is from RNAcentral. Lineage: Bacteria; Pseudomonadati; Pseudomonadota; Gammaproteobacteria; Lysobacterales; Lysobacteraceae.